UACGAAGGGGGCUAGCGUUGUUCGGAAUUACUGGGCGUAAAGCGCACGUAGGCGGACAUUUAAGUCAGGGGUGAAAUCCCGGGGCUCAACCCCGGAACGGCCUUUGAUACUGGGUGUCUUGAGUUCGGAAGAGGUGAGUGGAAUUGCGAGUGUAGAGGUGAAAUUCGUAGAUAUUCGCAGGAACACCAGUGGCGAAGGCGGCUCACUGGUCCGAUACUGACGCUGAGGUGCGAAAGCGUGGGGAGCAAACAGGG
RNAcentral lists this ribosomal RNA (254 nucleotides) under uncultured bacterium. RNAcentral's name for it is "partial 16S ribosomal RNA". It matches the Rfam family "Bacterial small subunit ribosomal RNA", at positions 524 to 777 of the family's 1533-position model. The record is from RNAcentral.